GACGAACGCUGGCGGCGUGCUUAACACAUGCAAGUCGAACGGAAAGGCCCUGCUUUUGUGGGGUGCUCGAGUGGCGAACGGGUGAGUAACACGUGAGUAACCUGCCCUUGACUUUGGGAUAACUUCAGGAAACUGGGGCUAAUACCGGAUAGGAGCUCCUGCUGCAUGGUGGGGGUUGGAAAGUUUCGGCGGUUGGGGAUGGACUCGCGGCUUAUCAGCUUGUUGGUGGGGUAGUGGCUUACCAAGGCUUUGACGGGUAGCCGGCCUGAGAGGGUGACCGGCCACAUGGGAACUGGGAUACGGCCCAGACUCCUACGGGGGGAAGCGGGGGGAAAUAUGGCACAUGGGGCGGAAGCCGAAUGCAGCAACGCCGCGGGGGGGAUGACGGCCUUCGGGUUGAAACCGCUUUCGCCUGUGACGAAGCGUGAGUGACGGUAAUGGGUAAAGAAGCACCGGCUAACUACGUG
RNAcentral lists this ribosomal RNA (467 nucleotides) under uncultured bacterium. RNAcentral's name for it is "partial 16S ribosomal RNA". It matches the Rfam family "Bacterial small subunit ribosomal RNA", at positions 28 to 507 of the family's 1533-position model. The record is from RNAcentral.